Octodon degus (degu) is the source of this 102-nucleotide small nucleolar RNA. RefSeq annotates it as small nucleolar RNA U13. The transcript has a single exon. NCBI's taxonomy places the organism in Eukaryota, Metazoa, Chordata, Mammalia, Rodentia, Octodontidae. The record is from RefSeq and is a predicted model, not a curated record.
AUCCUUCGGUUCAUGAGCAUGAUGAUUGGUUAUUCAUGCCUUAUGCAAGAGAUGUGCCUCCCUCAAAUCUUGUUACGAUGUGGGCACAUUACCCGUCUAACA